This 202-nucleotide unclassified non-coding RNA is filed under the name Hevea brasiliensis (rubber tree). The record is from RNAcentral. Lineage: Eukaryota; Viridiplantae; Streptophyta; Magnoliopsida; Malpighiales; Euphorbiaceae.
UCUCUUCAUGGCACGGCGUUCCCUCACAAAUGAUGGAUCUACUGUGUUCUUCAAAUAAUCAACCUUCUGAGCAAAAUACCACUCUGGGGCUCGAGGCUCUAUACUGAAUUUCUUGCAAAAUGGGACCCAUUUCCUUGCAAACUCGGAUGUUUCAGAGAGUGCCUCAAAAGUAAGCAUGGCAGCACCAUCAUCAGAGACAUAG